Molecule: ribosomal RNA, 253 nt
Filed under: uncultured bacterium
Lineage: Bacteria
Description: partial 16S ribosomal RNA
Rfam family: Bacterial small subunit ribosomal RNA
Source: RNAcentral
UACGGGGGGGGUAAGCGUUGUUCGGAAUUACUGGGCGUAAAGGGCUCGUAGGCGGCCAACUAAGUCAGACGUGAAAUCCCUCAGCUUAACUGGGGAACUGCGUCUGAUACUGGAUGGCUUGGAUUCGGGAGAGGAAUGCGGAAUUCCAGGUGUAGCGGUGGAAUGCGCAGAUAUCAGGAGGAACACCGGUGGCGAAGGCGGCAUCCUGGACCGGCAUUGACGCUGAGGCGCGAAAGCCAGGGGAGCAAACGGG